This 668-nucleotide ribosomal RNA is filed under the name uncultured Bacteroidales bacterium. Its description in RNAcentral is "bacterial SSU rRNA". It matches the Rfam family "Bacterial small subunit ribosomal RNA", at positions 66 to 722 of the family's 1533-position model. Lineage: Bacteria; Pseudomonadati; Bacteroidota; Bacteroidia; Bacteroidales. The record is from RNAcentral.
GGGGCAGCAUUUUAGUUUGCUUGCAAACUGAAGAUGGCGACCGGCGCACGGGUGAGUAACACGUAUCCAACCUGCCGAUAACUCCGGAAUAGCCUUUCGAAAGAAAGAUUAAUACCGGAUGGCAUACGAAUAUCGCAUGAUAUUUUUAUUAAAGAAUUUCGGUUAUCGAUGGGGAUGCGUUCCAUUAGUUUGUUGGCGGGGUAACGGCCCACCAAGACUACGAUGGAUAGGGGUUCUGAGAGGAAGGUCCCCCACAUUGGAACUGAGACACGGUCCAAACUCCUACGGGAGGCAGCAGUGAGGAAUAUUGGUCAAUGGGCGAGAGCCUGAACCAGCCAAGUAGCGUGAAGGAUGAAGGCUCUAUGGGUCGUAAACUUCUUUUAUAUGGGAAUAAAGUAUUCCACGUGUGGAAUUUUGUAUGUACCAUAUGAAUAAGGAUCGGCUAACUCCGUGCCAGCAGCCGCGGUAAUACGGAGGAUCCGAGCGUUAUCCGGAUUUAUUGGGUUUAAAGGGAGCGUAGGUGGAUUGUUAAGUCAGUUGUGAAAGUUUGCGGCUCAACCGUGAAAUUGCAGUUGAAACUGGCAGUCUUGAGUACAGUAGAGGUGGGCGGAAUUCGUGGUGCAGCGGUGAAAUGCUUAGAUAUCACGAAGAACUCCGAUUGCGAAGGC